Molecule: ribosomal RNA, 413 nt
Filed under: uncultured bacterium
Lineage: Bacteria
Description: bacterial SSU rRNA
Rfam family: Bacterial small subunit ribosomal RNA
Source: RNAcentral
GUGGCAGCCGCCGCGGUAAUACGGAGGGUGCGAGCGUUAAUCGGAAUUACUGGGCGUAAAGGGCGCGUAGGCGGUCGCGCAAGUCGGGUGUGAAAGCCCCGGGCUCAACCUGGGAAUUGCAUUCGAUACUGCGUAACUAGAGUCUGGUAGAGGGAAGCGGAAUUCCGCAUGUAGCGGUGAAAUGCGUAGAUAUGCGGAGGAACACCAGUGGCGAAGGCGGCUUCCUGGACCAAGACUGACGCUGAGGCGCGAAAGCGUGGGGAGCAAACAGGAUUAGAUACCCUGGUAGUCCACGCCCUAAACGAUGAGGACUAGACGUUGGGGGGAUAAAACCCUUUAGUGUCGCAGCUAACGCGUGAAGUCCUCCGCCUGGGGAGUACGGCCGCAAGGUUGAAACUUAAAUGAAUUGGCGG